GCUAAUUAAGUGUUCUUCGCACAUUGGCUUUUCACGUCAAAAGAGCAUUCUCAUGCAUUUAGCU
Molecule: transfer RNA, 64 nt
Filed under: Pilsbryoconcha exilis
Lineage: Eukaryota; Metazoa; Mollusca; Bivalvia; Unionida; Unionidae
Description: tRNA-Glu
Source: RNAcentral